This 522-nucleotide ribosomal RNA is filed under the name uncultured bacterium. Its description in RNAcentral is "bacterial SSU rRNA". It matches the Rfam family "Bacterial small subunit ribosomal RNA", at positions 8 to 518 of the family's 1533-position model. The record is from RNAcentral.
AGAGUUUGAUCAUGGCUCAGGAUGAACGCUAGCUACAGGCUUAACACAUGCAAGUCGAGGGGCAGCAUGGUCUUAGCUUGCUAAGGCCGAUGGCGACCGGCGCACGGGUGAGUAACGCGUAUCCAACCUUCCCCUUAGUAGGGCAUAGCCCGUAGAAAUGCGGAUUAAUACCCUAUGUUGUCAGUAGAGGACAUCUGAAGUUGACCAAAGGUUCACCGCUAAGGGAUGGGGAUGCGUCCGAUUAGGCAGUCGGCGGGGUAACGGCCCACCGAGCCGUCGAUCGGUAGGGGUUCUGAGAGGAAGGUCCCCCACACUGGUACUGAGACACGGACCAGACUCCUACGGGAGGCAGCAGUGAGGAAUAUUGGUCAAUGGGCGUAAGCCUGAACCAGCCAAGUAAGCGUGCAGGACGACGGCCCUACGGGUUGUAAACUGCUUUUAUGCGGGGAUAAAGUGGGGAACGUGUUCCCUUUUGCAGGUACCGCAUGAAUAAGGACCGGCUAAUUCCGUGCCAGCCGCUGC